Long non-coding RNA from Oreochromis niloticus (Nile tilapia), 535 nucleotides. RefSeq lists it as uncharacterized. The transcript is spliced from 3 exons. Lineage: Eukaryota; Metazoa; Chordata; Actinopteri; Cichliformes; Cichlidae. The record is from RefSeq and is a predicted model, not a curated record.
CAUUUCUAUAUAAAUGUCAUGUACAUUAUGUUCACACAGUGAAUACUUCAAAAUGAGAAGGACAUGCUACAACAAAACAGACUGGGUGAAUGUGAGACUUCGAGGAGGAGUACUGACACAUCCAUUUCAACGUGAUGGUUCUAGCUGCGGAGUAAUGAUGGCCAAAGCAGUAAUGGAAGCAUUCCCAAAUAAACCAGAAAUGACAUUUUUGACGACAAAAAAAGAGAUGGCCCAGGCACGAAGGACAUUUGCACAGACAAUACUUGAGGCCUCAGUAUUUGACAGUGACACCAACUGUGCCAUGUGUGCAACAGCGAAACCACCCAAUCCAGGACCCUCCAUCACUGACUGGUGUUAAGGUUCAAAAAUAUAGGGAAGUAAAUACCCGGACCGCGGCCUCAUCUCUAGUGCCCUAACACAAUUUAAAAGCGUCAACCAACUCAACCCCUGCCGAAAAGCCCUAUUUUGGCCUUCCUCAGCCAAGGCUUUCCCGAAGUUUUAAGUCUUAAGGUUACACGCCUGAAACCCGGUUCCU